UACGGGGGGAGCAAGCGUUGUUCGGAUUUACUGGGCGUAAAGGGCGCGUAGGCGGCCACCGCAAGUCGACUGUGAAAUCUCCGGGCUUAACUCGGAACGGUCAACUGAUACUGCGCGGCUAGAGUGCAGAAGGGGCAACUGGAAUUCUCGGUGUAGCGGUGAAAUGCGUAGAUAUCGAGAGGAACACCUGCGGCGAAGGCGGGUUGCUGGGCUGACACUGACGCUGAUGCGCGAAAGCCAGGGGAGCGAACGGG
Molecule: ribosomal RNA, 254 nt
Filed under: uncultured bacterium
Lineage: Bacteria
Description: partial 16S ribosomal RNA
Rfam family: Bacterial small subunit ribosomal RNA
Source: RNAcentral